AUAUUACUCGUAUCCACCCACCCUGACCAGUGCUCCAAUGUUUUUAAAAAGAUGACUUCGGUCGUAAUUCUCUUUCUCUAAUCAUUGUGGCCAAGAUCUCCACCAUCCUGCACAACCGAUUGAAGUCAUCCUGAUGGCCAACAGUCUGCUCCACAUGCGGUAUCUGGGAUAUAGAAGGAAGCCUAGGAUAGGUAGUGGGUGGCACAACUGAGAAUGAGGGCAGCCCUUGGAAGACUGAGAGUGGCACAUGCUAGAAUGACGGUGCCCAGCAGGGUUGAUUUCUUUUUGUUUUACCAAUUCAAAUAAAUCAAUUCUUAUUUUGUAAGAACAUGAAGUUAGAUUAUGGAUUGUUAAUUAUAGAUUUAGUUGGAAUUUUUUAUAAUGGUUGCAAAU
This 393-nucleotide long non-coding RNA is filed under the name Carica papaya (papaya). RNAcentral describes it as "long non-coding RNA (CPAP_LNC000396)". The record is from RNAcentral. Lineage: Eukaryota; Viridiplantae; Streptophyta; Magnoliopsida; Brassicales; Caricaceae.